This 493-nucleotide long non-coding RNA is filed under the name Olea europaea (common olive). RNAcentral's name for it is "long non-coding RNA (OEUR_LNC010995)". Lineage: Eukaryota; Viridiplantae; Streptophyta; Magnoliopsida; Lamiales; Oleaceae. The record is from RNAcentral.
UUAGGGACCACGCAGGAUACUGUAUCAGGGCAUUCUCAGCAUCGUAUGGCCCAUGUUUCAUUUUGGAGGCUGAACUCAGAGCCAUACUAGAUAGGCUUCUAUUGGCCAGAGGACUUGGGAUUUCAGCUAUCUGGCUUGAGGCAGAUUCAACAUUGGCUAUUCACUGCAUUACCAAAGGUGGAGGACCAUGGUCGAUUCAGGGUAUUCUUAGACAGAUCAGAGACCUCAUCUACUUCGAUAGAGACACGGUUUCACACAUCUACAGAGAAGGCAACCAGGUUGCUGAUUCUCUUGCUACAGAAGGCUGGAAUCAUCGGCGCUAUCUAGAGUAUGGACCACUAGAACUGCCUCGACAUAUUAGGGCGAUAGUGCGGAUCGACAGACAUGGAUUGCCCAGUUUCAGAGGCUCGUAAUUUAGACUUUUCUUUAUUGUAUAGGGAAGUAGUACUUCCUCAUUUAUUGCUUUCAUUUAUAAUAUUCAUUUGUUGCAUCA